Podarcis lilfordi (Lilford's wall lizard) is the source of this 75-nucleotide non-coding RNA. NCBI's taxonomy places the organism in Eukaryota, Metazoa, Chordata, Lepidosauria, Squamata, Lacertidae. The record is from the annotation of a GenBank genome assembly.
AGUGGAAGAAGCCUAGCUCAGUGGUGGAACAUCUGCCCUGCAUGCAGAAGGACCCAGGUUCAGACCCCGGCACCU